UAUGGGGAGUUUUUGCUGCAGGGGCUUUUGGGGCUGCUGCAGGUGCAGGUGAAAUAGCCAAGGUGGUAGAGGAAAAGAGUAGAAAGAGCGAGAGGGAGAAAAGGGUUGCUUGUUUCAUCUUCCAGAUGCCAACUCAAGCCUAGAUGGCCUUGAUGAUUUUGAAAGAAUGUUAAAAUGAUUGUAGCAAUUUAUUUUUGAUGUGUGGGAGCUGUGAAGGAGAGGGGUUAUAUAGAGAUUGGAGGGCAAGGAAAUGAUAGGUUGGUGAAAUGUUAUGGCUGUGAAAUUUGUUAGCUGGGGAGUCUGAGGGUGUAUCACGUCUGUCAUGGAGAAUAAGGAUCCUUUAUCUAAAUAUUAUUGGCAUAAAUUAGUGUAAGUAUUGAGUUCGGAUAUGGUGAACUGAGAAUGGACACAUUAAAUACCUGCUUUUAACACUUCUGUAGUAUGUAGUUGAAGAAGGGGAGUGACAAUGCAGAGAGGCUACAGAGGACCCCCUUAAAAAUAUCAGGGAGCAGCUACAAAUGUUGAGUUUAUGUAUAUCUAUAAGAUGUAAUUUAAUAACUUGGAUCAGAAAACAGAGCUGGAGCCAUCCACUUGAUACAAACCAAUUAAUGAAGUUCAAGAACUUUGUGAGUUGAGUGAGUAACUGGAUUGAAAUUCUCCUCCUGGUGUUUUGCACUUCCACUUCCAAUGGUUUUAUUUGGGAGAAGGUUGGUUUUUCUUUAUGCUGUAUUAGCUCCUAAACAUCUCACUCCAUUAACAAAAAUUUCUAUGUAUAGUUUAGCCCUGAAACAGAACAUUGGAAUCCAAAACCAUGUUCUGGAUACCUUUUAGUGCAAAUAAUUCAAGUUUUUAGCUUUAAUUUUUGCUCUCAUAUUCAAACUCUUAAAAAUUUGGACUUUGAACAUAAUAUCAUGAAUUACAUUUUCACUUCUAAAAUCUUGAUAUUUCAUCCUGUUCGUGAAUAUUAUAUAAACAAUAAAGACUUCGCAACUUUUUUUAUCACAAAUGGAGAAGAGACAUUUUACACCUCAUAUACGAAGUCUUUAGCAACAAGUAUAUGGUUUUCUUAAAGCCUCCAUGAGACAUAAACAAAAACUAAUUUGGAAAAUAAAAAUUUCCCUUCUUUCAUCUUCAAUUUCUAAGUCCAUCCUAUAGAUGACUUUUAUUAAUUCUACAAAUACCCAUUUUGUGUAUUUAUACAAAGAGGGACAAUUAGUUGUGAUUUUUACAAUAAUAAUAUUGGUGAAAAAGUAGGGUUAUGCAGAGGCCAAAUAAAUGAUGUGCUGGUGAAAUGUUGUGGUUAACAGGUUGCAAAAUUUGUAGCUGUGGAGGGUAUAUCCCAUCUGUCAUAGAGAUGAGGAUUUGUUAUCUAAUUAUUAUUUGCAUCUUUGCUGAUAAUGAUGAGCUGAUAAUGGACAUAUGAUAAUGCUGACAUAUUCAUGGACACUUGCUUUUUAACAUCUUUUGUAAGAAAAAUAAUGUAGUUGAAGAGGAGUGACCCACCUCACACAUACUAAGGAGUUGUUGCAAAUUGUUUUGUAUUUCUAUAAGAUGAUGCAGAGUUUUUAAACUGUGAUUGUGCUCAUGAUUGUUGAUACUGUCAAAAAUCACAUACAAGUACACUUAAUUUAAUUGCAUUUUAUAUUGAGGAAACUUCGAAAACUUUAACGUUCUGGUCAAAAUCGCAGUUGGAUUGGGAACCAUUUACUGAUAAAACUUUAAUAAAACAAAUCUUUAAUAAACAUUUAAUUCAAAAUAUUCAAAUUUACAAAAACUUAUAGCUUAAUUGAAUUAUUAUUUUCAUGACAUGUACUUAAUUAAGAUCCAAAGUAAAAGCUAAACUACGUCACUCUGCUUCGAGAGUAAAAUCAAACUGUAGAAUUUUAAUUGAAAAAUAUAAAAAUUUGAAAUAUUCAGUAAAAUAUAUUUUUUAACAAAAAUUAACUUAAACCUUAAUUAUGUCAUGCUAUAAAAAGCUCAGGUUGUACAGAUGAAGUUAUUGUUUCUGCUUCUGGAUAAAAGUCCACUUUUCUUAAUAAUAAUAGAUGUUAUUGUAAACAACAAACACAAAAUAGUUCGUAUAUAUUUCUCUCCAUCCUUUUCAACUCGAUAACAUUCAUUAUGAAUUAACUAUAUUUGGAAACUUUGGACAGUUUUUAUAUAAAUAGUGCCUUGGAGGAAAAUGUUUGAAAGAAAAAGAGGAUAGGAGUUAUGAAACAUGAAUUCAUUCCUGGUCAUGCAUAUAAAGCAUGAUGAUAGCAACAACAUGGUUUCAGAUAAGAAUCGUUAAUCAUUCAAGCAUUCUUUCCCUUUCCAUAACAUCCAUACACAAGAAACCACAAAGAGAGAAAAAUUUAAACAAAAAAAGAAGCGCAAACAAAGAAAUUAACCACAAAGAAAACUGAAAGUUCAGCUGCUAAAUGAUCAACUCCACAUGGUUGCCAUAGCGACCAAGGCUAUCCCAAGUGACAUCAACUUUGUUCCACUAACGCUGCUCAAACUGAGUGCCCCAGAUUUAUUGUGAUCCUGGUUUGCUUCUUCUUGAUCGUCAUCAGAAGAGUUUUCCUUAGCAGCUUUGGGAGCCUUUGCAAGAGAUGAAGGAGCCAAAGCUGGAGCCUUAUUGGUUACAAAGAAAUCUAGAGGAAGAAGUACCUUGUCCACGUGAUAAAUUCCAAGUUUGUUAUCCGCGUAUACUACUCCAAGAAUGGUGGCAUUGACUACCCCGGUUGAAAUGUUGACACUGUUACCUAAUGCAUUCACAUUCAGUGGAAGCCUUGCAGGGUCUUUACCAGCCACUGUCUGCACAGGGUUGCUCAGAGAAUCAAAGUUUGAGCUGGACACAAACUCUGGCAAUAUGUGGAACUGCACAAGUUCAAUUUUCUGGCCUGCGUUUAGGGAGUUGAGGAAGCCAGCUUUGAGGUUGGAAAAGGCAGAAUCAUCUGGUGCAAGGAUGGUUAUGCCCCCACUCUUGGCUGUUAUGAGCUGUGAGUUGAUGUUGUUCAUGAUUUCUGUGGUUUUGAGGAGGCGGACCAGGGUUGAGAACAUUUUGGCCUUUUUUAGGAUUCUGGUGAUGUCAUCAGGGACAGAGUCAGGGGAGUCUGGAGACUGAGGUAAUGUGGGGACUAAUGGUUUUGGUGAUGGUGCUGCAGCCUUUGGGGUAUGGGGAGUUUUUGCUGCAGGGGCUUUUGGGGCUGCUGCAGGUGCAGGUGAAAUGGCCAAGGUGGUAGAGGAAAAUAGUAGCAAGAGUGAGAGGGAGAAAAGGGUUGCUUGUUUCAUCUUCCAGUUGCCAAUUGAAGCCUGUAGAUAUGGCUUUGAUGAUUGUGGAAGUAUGUGAAUGAUUUGAAUUAAUGAUUCUUGCAAUUUGUGUCUG
This 3370-nucleotide long non-coding RNA is filed under the name Phaseolus vulgaris (common bean). RNAcentral describes it as "long non-coding RNA (PVUL_LNC000109)". The record is from RNAcentral. Lineage: Eukaryota; Viridiplantae; Streptophyta; Magnoliopsida; Fabales; Fabaceae.